CGUGUAGGCGGGAAAACAAGUCAGAUGUGAAAUACCGAGGCUUAACUUCGGGGCUGCAUCUGAAACUGUUUUUCUUGAGUGUCGGAGAGGAAAGUGGAAUUCCCAGUGUAGCGGUGAAAUGCGUAGAUAUUGGGAGGAACACCAGUGGCGAAGGCGACUUUCUGGACGAUAACUGACGCUGAGGCGCGAAAGCGUGGGGAGCAAACAGGAUUAGAUACCCUGGUAGUCCACGCUGUAAACGAUGGAUACUAGGUGUAGGAGGUAUCGACCCCUUCUGUGCCGGAGUUAACACAAUAAGUAUCCCACCUGGGGAGUACGGCCGCAAGGUUGAA
This 332-nucleotide ribosomal RNA is filed under the name uncultured bacterium. RNAcentral describes it as "bacterial SSU rRNA". It matches the Rfam family "Bacterial small subunit ribosomal RNA", at positions 568 to 898 of the family's 1533-position model. The record is from RNAcentral.